Rattus norvegicus (Norway rat) is the source of this 7593-nucleotide non-coding RNA. NCBI's taxonomy places the organism in Eukaryota, Metazoa, Chordata, Mammalia, Rodentia, Muridae. The record is from RefSeq and is a predicted model, not a curated record.
CUGAGGGGCUGAGGGGCUGAGAGGGGCUGGAGGGCUGAGAGGGGCUGAGGGGCUGAGGCUCGAGCAGUUGUUCUCAAAGAGAUGCUCGCUUCCUGAACUGCCUGUUGUGCAGAUGCCUAGCUCAGCGCCAGGCCCCAUAGAAGCUCAGGCCUCUGUUUUUUUCUCAGUAUGUUGGAGCAUUCAGAAAGCAGCAGCCAUGCCAGAUUUGUUUUUGUGCGUGCUCCAGUCGUCCCCUGGUGGCCCAAAGAGGGAAAGGGCCGUGUUAGCACAUUGGCACAUUUCAAAUGCUAGGGAGAAGCAGGCACAAACACUGGGAUGCGCAAGCGCAGUUGGUGGCCGGCCUCGAACGCCGCCGCCGCGCAUGCGUGCGCCUCUCCUGAUUUAAAGGCCUGGUUCUGUCCUGCCUUUCCCCAAACCACCUGACUAAAGUGGAUCCCCUAAACGUCCUCGUUCCAAUAUUACCGCGUCUGGGAUUUAUGUAGUCUUACUUCAGGAAGCUGAAGGCGGAGGACAUGGUUUUGCUGGUGGCCUAGUGGUGGCGCUCUGGCAUUCCUGGGCUGGCACAGCAAGUGCAUCUUGUUUUGUGCUGUCUCCUUGUCUCCAUUCUUGCUGCUCUGGUACCCAGAACCUCAGGCCAUUACAGCCCCAUGCUAGCCUGCACCUUAGUUCUUCCAGUAGCAAGAAAAGCCUCGGUUUCUCUCUUGGAAGUCCAAGAGGAGUGGAGGAGUCCUGGCCUCACAUCUCACCAGGUUUGGACCCUUGGACAAUGCACAGCCGCCUCACUUUGGAUCCAGGCAGGGCAGAUGGUUCUGAAACUGGUCCACCACCUCAGCCCAUGUGUCCCAAGACCACAUGGCAGGUGGGCCCAGCCCUGGGCAGCCCUGUCUUGGCUCAGAACACUGCACAGGCUAGGGAAGGUCUGCGGGUUUUGAGCUGCCUACAUUUGUCUUGGAGGCUGACAUGGAGAAAACCCCGAAGGCCCAGUCGCCCUCACAGUUUCACCACAAGUAUCCUGACCGGGUGUCUGGUGCCGAGCUGAUAGUGCAGGCCCUGGCCGCAGCCCUGCCGGAAACCGCGCUGCCAGCGGUUGGGGGCCGCAGGCUGGGACAGGAAGCGCCCGGUGCACCAGAGACUUCUGCAGACCUGCACUGAGACCAAGCUGCCGCCAUGUUGAAGAUGGACUCCUGGGGCUGAGCAGAGGCUGCUCUGUUCACCUGCCUAUCGCCAGACUGGGGAGGUGACAGCCUCAGGACAGUUAGCCCCCUGGCUCUGGUCCAAGGAUUGGGAAUCCUUAUCUCCCCCCCCCCCCAUAGCCAAGCCCUUCACUGUGUCCUCCUAACCUCUUGCCUUACUCAGUUUAUAUGUGGCCUAUGACUGGUUUAGGACUAAACUAGGGAGCCUUAAAAGGCUAGUACUCAAAUGGGGAAAGACAAUCUACAGCUUGGAGAGAAUUCAGAGGAAAGCAUUUUCAUGUGGUGAUGAGGCCAGAUUCCUCCUCUUCUUUUGGUGUCCAGUCUUGAAGAACCCAGGAUUCCUUUCAAAAUUGUUGUCUUAGUUGACUUCAGCCACUAUCGUGAAAAGCUGUCGGGGUGGCUUAUCAACAGGACUUUUCCGUUAUACUACUGGAGAGUCCUGAAGGGAGGUGUGGGCAUUUGGGUGUGGUGAGACUUCUCUUGGUUCUCUGGUGGGCUUUUCACCGAGUCCUCACGCUGGAGAAGGAAGGAGGAACCUCUCAGAGACAGUCUCAGGUCUCUCAUCUCAUUGAUGAAGAUUGUUCUUCCAUGAGCGCACACACACACACACACACACACACACACACACACACACACACACACACACACACACACUUAUUAGGAUUAGGCUAACAUGAAUAAUUUGGGAGCGUACACAUGACGAUGGCAAGACCUGGAGCCUGUUGAAAUGCUGGUUGGGGAGGAGAAAGUGAUAGGGCGGGCGAGGUGUUAGAUAGGAGACAAGGAGCCAAUGAAAAGAGUCAAAAGAGCAGAGCGGGUGGGAUUUUGAAAAGAUACUGCCAAUCAGCACCUGAGGCUAAAUCUGCCCUACCGGAUCUCAACUGCAUUUGGCGCUAGUCUCUGAAGUGGACUGUGGCAGCGUUCUCCUGCUCUCCACUCUUUAGCAGCUGAAACAGAGGCAGAAUAUUAGUUUUACUCAAAAAAUAUCUUUGCUUUGUAUCAGGUCCUGUCUCAGGCACCAAGUUUACGUUGGUAUGUGAGGCACAUAGCCAUUGUCUCUCAGUCAUUCCAAGUUUGGACACUUCCGUCACCAAGGCAUACUGCUGUGUGCUGUGUAUACACAGAUGCCACCCACUGUGUGAAUGCCUGUGUUCCCAGAGAAUCUUCAAGGUUUCACGUGUCGAUACAACAGUUGGCUGGGUGGCUUAUUACAGUGGUGCUGAUUUCCCGGGAUUCUGCAGGGUGGAAGUUCAAGAUUCCAGUGCCAGCACCUCGUGUUCUGGGAGCUCUCUUGCUACCCUCACCAGGUAGAUGGUGCUUGCCUGCGGUGGUCUUGUCUCAGAGUCCGGAACCUGGUCACAAGGCUCUGCCAUCCUGACUUAAGAAUCUUAUAAACACCUGCUUUUAGUUCCCAGUAGGUUUUCAAUAUGUGAAUUUAUUUGCCACUUACAGAUUUUUGUAUUUACAUUUAUUUCCCUCAUAUGUAAAUAAUUUUAAUUUCCUUCUAACCAGUGAAAACUCAUGGUUUUUCUGAAAGAAAGGGAAAGUGGUGUCCGGUUUGGUAUUACAUGUGUCAAAUACUUGUAUAAAGUAGCAACCAAACGUUCUAAGAGAUUUGUCUUUUAGCACUUACCAUUUUCAACUCACAUGCUCCUUUAUGUGAGAAAUUUCAGUCAAAAGUGGCUGAAAUGUUAACAUUGUUCUUUGAGAGAAUAUCUGAAAGGUUUAUGAAUUUUUAAAAUAUCAUACAGUCUAUUUCUUAAAAAUAGUUACCAAGACAAUAAAAUUUUUAUUUUGUAAAAAAAAAAAGUAGACUUUGUAGCAUUGGGAUAUUCAGAACCCAGCACUGGUCUCAAUGGAUACAUCCUAUCAGUAAAGGGGACAGUUCAUCAUUCACAUAUGACCAGGUAAGAACACCUCUCUAGCUUCCUUCUUGUCCACCUCCCAGUCCCCAGUGGAGGGAGACACACUCCCCCUACCUUCCUGCUCACUCACCCCCAACAAUUCCCCAGGGAGGGACCCCUUCCCUCUUUUGCAUCCUUGAUGACUCUUGGCCUGAAGAGAAUGGAUGGGAGCGUGUGGUUGGUUAUGCAGGGCUGUUGCUGGGGCAAACAGCACAGGGCAGUCAGUGAUUGUUGGUGACAUAAAUCUCUUUAAGGAAACAGAACUGUGUCUAGACUGUGUGCUCUCUGCUGACCAGUCCCUCGCCAUCGUGAGUCACUUUCUUGGAUUUAUGUUGGGUUUAAUUUUUACAGCUUUCCUCCCCACCCCUCUCUCCGAGACAGUCUCACAUAUCACAAGCUAGCCUCGGAUUCGAUCUGUAGCUGAGGAUGACCUUCAACUUCUGAUCCUCCUGCCUCCACCUCCAAGUUUGGGGAUUACAGGUAUGUAUCGCAUGUCUGGUUUUCACUGUUUUCUCUCCACAUUAAAUAAUUAAUCAGUGCUAGACUGGAUCUCUUUCUGCAGCCCUGGCUGGACUGGGACUCGUUGCUUGUUUGUUUCUCAGUGAAUCCCCGGCUGUCCUGGAACUUGCUCUGUAGACUUGGCUGGCCUCAAACUCAGAGAUCCUUUUGCCUCUGUCUCCCGACUGCUGGGUCCAAAGGUGUGUGCCACCACCUCCCAGCUUGGCCUGGAGCUCUCGUAGAGCAGGCUGGCCCCAAACAGAGAUGUGGCUUUGCCUUCACCCAGUACCUGUAGUACGAAGGACACUCGUCAGCAUGUCUGGCUGCCAAGUUUUCUUAAAGUCGGGUGAAGGGGGUGUUUACAAAGGUUGGGAAAGUAAACCCUCACUAGGAAGCAAAUCAAAAUGUGGGGUCCGGGGUAGGUGGGAUGCUGGUGAUACCUCCCCGGACCUGUAUCCCUGGCAAAGUCAUCCAACGGCUAGGAACUGUGUUUCCAUCUUUAAAAUGCCGUGAUAUUUGUUCCUUAGAGUGUUGUGAUCCUCAAAUAAGGCUGCCAGUCGGGUGGUUCCAUUGGUGGUGGCAGUCUGAGCUGAGUGACACUGCUAAAAGUAUGACGAUGCAGGCUGGUGACUCACAGAGGGCACUGUGAGUCCCGUCAGGGGACUGGAGUCCUUUACGCCUCACUGCACAGAGGGACACGUGGGGACUGCUCCAGAGACUUUCGGGGUCAGUGCUGUAGAGUGACUUUGCGUUUCCUCUAUAGAAGAGAAUAAUCUCUUGCUUUGGGGGUCACAGAGCUCUGGCAUUUGAACGUAUAGCAGGCAUGCGAUAAAGGCUGUGGCCCCAGGAAUGUACCACAGCACCUCCGGCUGGUCCGGUUGUUUUGUGUACAUGGCCUGUGCCUUGGUUUCCCUCUUGCAAAGUGAACUGGUGUCUCUGGCCCCAGGUCGCUGGGUCAGGGAAGAGCAGGACCAGUUUCUCCACUGUUUUACAUGGGCUUCGGGUAGGGGUUGAAUUGGAGCCUCAUAGCCACAAGAGGGCACCCUACACCCUGCAAAUCCACCCCUGCUUGGGCCUCAGGGUAGACAGAGGGUGGGUGUCUGUGUGUAGAUGGAAGGAGCCUGGACCGGAAGGGGGGCUCCCAUCUUUCAGUCCCUAUUUUGCCCGCAUUGCGUGGCCUUGCUGGUCUCACGCUCUGAUCUGACAUGGGCUCAUCCUGGGAAGCAAAGGGCUCUGGUGAGGAUCAAGAUAUGAGUGAGGCCCCAGACUGUCACCUCGAUAGGUUCAUAUUCUGGGUUUGGAUCCCUUACCAUUGGUUCCUUUCUAAUUUAUUCCUGGUGCUGGGGUGGAACCCAGAGCUUGGGUACACCAGGCUGCGGAGGCAGACCCUAGCCCUCAUUAGUUCCUGCCAGCUACUCCCCUGCCUGUAUCAGAGUAGAUGUUUUUAGUGAGGACACCAGGGGAUAUUGAGAAAGAGCUGAAGCCCCCAGCCUUUCCUGUCAGGAACAUGAGGGCUCUGAAGAGCAAAAACAAAAACCCAAAACUCAGAACAGAACAAAAUAAAACAGAAAACCGCGGUAACUCACAAACAGAGCCUGUGUGACCAGGAAAGCGGGGACCCAGCUGACUGUGGGUCUGCAGACAUCACCUCCACCGGAAUGUGGGAUCACUGUGGUUUGGGUCCAUGGGGACCCAUAUGUAAUCUGCUGACCUUGGGAGUCGGGGCCAGCAGCCAAUAAGUGGAGACCUGGGUCCAUGCGCCAGCAGACCAUGGUGGCUUUUUGAUCCUUGGAGAGAUUUACUCAACAGGAAUAUGGAUGUCCUGGGAGAGGCUUGUCCUCCCAAGCCUGGCUGCUGGUAUAAAGCUGCCCUUUCCUCUUUCCUACAAUAGCCCAUCUCCAUGUGGGGUCCUGGGGUCCUGGUUGGCUGUGGUCAGCUCAUGCAUGGCAUGUCAGGAGCUUCAGAUGCUGAGCCUGUAGGAGGUGAGUUUAAGGACCCCAGGGAACAGACAGGGAAACCAAACACAGAGGGCCAACAGAACAAGACAGGACCUGGGCCUCGGCCUCACCCUGCCCUGCCAGAAGACUCUGGUGAUUGGGGCCCAGGAGCACAUGAAUGUAUGGAGAAGAGCUCCCCAGGCCCCCAACCCGACCUUCUGUCUCCACACCUACACAUAUUUUGCCUGCCAUCACCUCUCUCCUACUCCGUUCUUCCGGCCCAUUGCAGCAUUCCUUCAUAGGCUUCAGGAGGUGUGCGUGUGUUUGAAAUGGUAAAAACAAUGCUUGCUCAUAGCAAGCCUUCAAACUGACCAGAAGACACAGAGAAGAGAGCAGAAACCCCACCUUCCUCUCACUUUCCUACUCACCUAAGCUUUCUUGGUGAUUUCUAGUCAGUUCCCUGGAGGGUUUCGUUUUAACUGUAUGUCUCUGUGCACUGCUCCACAUCAGCUCCCUGAGGCCUGAGCCAGGCCCAUACAACAUGCAUUGAAGAUGUUGUACAGGAUGGCUAUGGAGGUGUGUGUGUGUGUGUGUGUGUGUGUGUGUGUGUGUGUGUGUGUGAGAGAGAGAGAGAGAGAAUUCAUAUGUGUGUGAAUUUGUGUGUGUGAACGUGUGUGUGAAUGUGAGUGUGUAUGUAUGAGAUAGUAUUCAUAUGUGUGUGAACGUUGAGUGUUGUGUGUGUGUGAAUGUGAGUGUGUGUGUGUGUGUGUGUGUGCCUCCUCUUUCUUUCCCAAUGAGGAAUCCCAACAGGCAGCUGAAUCUUCUCUAUACAACAUUCUGUUAACAUCAUUAUAAGUUAAAUUCAGGGCUGGAUAUGACAAUAUAUAUGUAUAGUUCCAGGACCGGGAAGUGGAGGCAGGAGGAUUAAGAGUUUCAAGAGGGGACUGGAGAGAUGCCUCAGGGGUUAAGAGCACUGACUGCUCUUCCAGAGGUCCUGAGUUCAAUUCCCAGCAACCACAUGGUGGCUCACAACCAUCUGUAAAGGGGAUUCCAUGUCCUCUUCUGGUGCGUCUGAGGACAGCUAUAGUGUAUUCAUAUGCAAUUAAAUAAAUCUUUAAAAAAAAAGUUUCAAGAGCAUCUUUGACUACUUGGUGAGUUUGAGGUUAACCUGGGUUACAUAAGACCCCACAUCAGGCCAGACUGAAACAAAAGAAAUAAAAAAGAUCAAUUUGAAUUCAAAGCUACAUAUAGUGGUGUAGGCCUGUAAUCCUAGGCAGGAGUUCAAGGCCAUUCUGGGCUACAGAAUGAAAUUUGUUUCCAAGAAGUAAAAUCCAUGAAUUUGGGCUCAACAUUUAAUGGUUUGAAGAUAUUCUUUGCACAUUCAAACUAUGUGUCUGGAGUCAGUUCUGAUGUGGUGGCGUCUGGUACGCUAACCUGGAGCAUGGAGGCUUCCUGUAUACCUUCUCCUGUUCUGCUCCUGUUCCCAGAACUCCCCUCUGCUUCCAGCCUGGCUCCCAAGGGCCUGAGGCUGUGACAUCUGUCCUUGGCAACUUAAUGAGAAAACUGACAAGCAUGGAAAUGGUCACUAACCAGCCAAUGUGUCAGCCUGAGCAGAGAAAGGGAAAAGAACAGAGACAGACCAUGUCCCUGACAUCUUCAUGGGCACCAAGGCCUGUGUGUGCCCUUUGAGAAAGCACCUGGCUUGGCAUUUGGAGUUCCCAUUGUCCUUAGAGGGAACAGAGGGAAAAAAGGGAACCAUCUUCUCACCACAGAGGCCAGAGGUUCAGCACUUGGAUCAGGGACAUGCUAACACACUCAGGUUCUUGUGCUGCAGCACAGUCAAGCCUCUUUUUUUUUUUUUUUUUUCUAUUUUUUUUUUUUCGGAGCUGGGGACCGAACCCAGGGCCUUGCGCUUACUAGGCAAGCGCUCUACCACUGAUCCAAAUUCCCAACCCCAGUCAAGCCUCUUUAAGGGUGGCCACUGCUCUGUGCCUGGUUGGUGGCUGAGAAUGGCAGUGGCCUGGGUUACCAGAGCAGAGCAGGGCUUCUGAGGCAAAGCUG